UACGAAGGGGGCUAGCGUUGCUCGGAAUUACUGGGCGUAAAGGGCGCGUAGGCGGACAUUUAAGUCGGGGGGUGAAAGGCCCAGGGCUCAACCCUGGAAUUGCCUUCGAUACUGGAUGUCUUGAGUUCGGGAGAGGUGGAGUGGAAUGCCGAGUGUAGAGGUGAAAAUUCGUAGAUAUUCGCAAGAACACCAGUGGCGAAGGCGGCUCACUGGCCCGGAACUGACGCUGAGGCGCGAAAGCGUGGG
Molecule: ribosomal RNA, 246 nt
Filed under: uncultured bacterium
Lineage: Bacteria
Description: partial 16S ribosomal RNA
Rfam family: Bacterial small subunit ribosomal RNA
Source: RNAcentral